Molecule: ribosomal RNA, 453 nt
Filed under: uncultured bacterium
Lineage: Bacteria
Description: bacterial SSU rRNA
Rfam family: Bacterial small subunit ribosomal RNA
Source: RNAcentral
UACGGAAGGCAGCAGUGGGGAAUAUUGCACAAUGGGCGCAAGCCUGAUGCAGCCAUGCCGCGUGUAUGAAGAAGGCCUUCGGGUUGUAAAGUACUUUCAGUCGUGAGGAAGGUGUUAAGGUUAAUAACCUUAGCAAUUGACGUUAGCGACAGAAGAAGCACCGGCUAACUCCGUGCCAGCAGCCGCGGUAAUACGGAGGGUGCGAGCGUUAAUCGGAAUUACUGGGCGUAAAGGGCACGCAGGCGGUUAAUAAGUUGGAUGUGAAAUCCCCGGGCUUAACCUGGGAAUGGCAUUCAAGACUGGUUAGCUAGAGUCUUGUAGAGGGGGUAGAAUUCCAUGUGUAGCGGUGAAAUGCGUAGAGAUGUGGAGGAAUACCGGUGGCGAAAGGCGGCCCCUGGGACAAAGACUGACGCUCAUGUGCGAAAGCGUGGGGAGCAAACAGGAUUAGAUACC